UGAGCUUUCUUUGAUGAUAAAGGGGCUC
RNAcentral lists this non-coding RNA (28 nucleotides) under Rattus norvegicus (Norway rat). The record is from RNAcentral. Lineage: Eukaryota; Metazoa; Chordata; Mammalia; Rodentia; Muridae.